CCUGCAAGCUGGAUGUUUGGCCUUCUUCCCCUGGAAGGAUUGUUUGAGUCUCACACUGAACAGGGGAUUAACCUCCACAAGUUCCAUUCAAGUCCUCCUGGAUUUCCAAGUGACAGUCCGCCCAAUAGGUCCUCAGGAUCCAACGAAGUCUAAACCUGUCCGCCCUCCAAUGAGUCUCUACCUCUGGAUAAACCCACACUUACUGGAUUCUGGGGAAGAAAGUCUUCUCCACUAACUUUCGGUUCACCAGCACACUGAGUUUCCUGAAUCCAACCCCCACUGACCUUAUCAAUAAACCUGUUAAAACUUU
Cyprinodon tularosa is the source of this 310-nucleotide long non-coding RNA. RefSeq lists it as uncharacterized. The record is from RefSeq and is a predicted model, not a curated record. The transcript has 2 exons. Lineage: Eukaryota; Metazoa; Chordata; Actinopteri; Cyprinodontiformes; Cyprinodontidae.